UACAUGCAAGUCGAGCGAACGGACGAGAAGCUUGCUUCUCUGAUGUUAGCGGCGGACGGGUGAGUAACACGUGGAUAACCUACCUAUAAGACUGGGAUAACUUCGGGAAACCGGAGCUAAUACCGGAUAAUAUUUUGAACCGCAUGGUUCAAAAGUGAAAGACGGUCUUGCUGUCACUUAUAGAUGGAUCCGCGCUGCAUUAGCUAGUUGGUAAGGUAACGGCUUACCAAGGCAACGAUGCAUAGCCGACCUGAGAGGGUGAUCGGCCACACUGGAACUGAGACACGGUCCAGACUCCUACGGGAGGCAGCAGUAGGGAAUCUUCCGCAAUGGGCGAAAGCCUGACGGAGCAACGCCGCGUGAGUGAUGAAGGUCUUCGGAUCGUAAAACUCUGUUAUUAGGGAAGAACAUAUGUGUAGGUAACUGUGCACAUCUUGACGGUACCUAAUCAGAAAGCCACGGCUAACUACGUGCCAGCAGCCGCGGUAAUACGUAGGUGGCAAGCGUUAUCCGGAAUUAUUGGGCGUAAAGCGCGCGUAGGCAGGAUAUCAAGUCUGAUGUGAAAGCCCACGGUCAACCGUGGAGGGUCAUUGGACCUUGGAAAACUUGAGUGCAGAAGAGGCACAGUGGAAUACCCAAUGU
RNAcentral lists this ribosomal RNA (642 nucleotides) under uncultured Staphylococcus sp. Its description in RNAcentral is "bacterial SSU rRNA". It matches the Rfam family "Bacterial small subunit ribosomal RNA", at positions 52 to 676 of the family's 1533-position model. Lineage: Bacteria; Bacillati; Bacillota; Bacilli; Caryophanales; Staphylococcaceae. The record is from RNAcentral.